GGAUCGAUGAUGAUUCCAAAAAAAAAACACCAAACCAACAUUCCUUGGAAAAUCUGAACAAAAUGAGUGAGAACUACAACAACAUCGUUCUCAUUCGGUUACUGAGGUCC
Molecule: small nucleolar RNA, 110 nt
Organism: Pipistrellus kuhlii (Kuhl's pipistrelle)
Lineage: Eukaryota; Metazoa; Chordata; Mammalia; Chiroptera; Vespertilionidae
Product: small nucleolar RNA SNORD116
Exons: 1
Source: RefSeq, a predicted model, not a curated record